AUACUUACCUGGCGAGAUACCAUGAUCAAGAAGGUGGUUCACCCAUGCAGGCGAGGCUCAGCCAUUGCACUGAGGCUGUUUGACCCGUGCGAAUUCCCAAAUGGGAAUCUGAUUGCAUAAUUUCUGGCAGUGGGGACUGCGUGCUCGCUCCCCUGAU
Molecule: small nuclear RNA, 157 nt
Gene: U1
Rfam family: U1 spliceosomal RNA
About the family: U1 is a small nuclear RNA (snRNA) component of the spliceosome (involved in pre-mRNA splicing). Its 5' end forms complementary base pairs with the 5' splice junction, thus defining the 5' donor site of an intron.
Source: Ensembl